This 253-nucleotide ribosomal RNA is filed under the name uncultured bacterium. RNAcentral describes it as "partial 16S ribosomal RNA". It matches the Rfam family "Bacterial small subunit ribosomal RNA", at positions 524 to 776 of the family's 1533-position model. The record is from RNAcentral.
UACGUAGGGGGCAAGCGUUGUCCGGAUUUAUUGGGCGUAAAGAGCGUGUAGGCGGCCACACAGGUCAGCUGUGAAAACUCGAGGCUCAACCUCGAGACGUCGGUUGAAACCGUAUGGCUAGAGUCCGGAAGAGGAGAGUGGAAUUCCCGGUGUAGCGGUGAAAUGCGCAGAUAUCGGGAAGAACACCUAUUGCGAAGGCAGCUCGCUGGGACGUCACUGACGCUGAGACGCGAAAGCGUGGGGAGCAAACAGG